GAUGAACGCUAGCGAUAGGCCUAACACAUGCAAGUCGAGGGGCAUCACAUGAAGUAGCAAUACGGAUGGUGGCGACCGGCGCACGGGUGAGUAACACGUAUGCAACCUGCCUUCAACAAGGGGAUAACCCGUUGAAAGACGGACUAAUACCCUAUAACACAGGGGUCCCGCAUGGGAAUAUUUGUUAAAGGACAACCGGUUGAAGAUGGGCAUGCGUUCCAUUAGCUAGUUGGCGGGGUAACGGCCCACCAAGGCAACGAUGGAUAGGGGAACUGAGAGGUUUAUCCCCCACACUGGUACUGAGACACGGACCAGACUCCUACGGGAGGACAGCAGUGAGGAAUAUUGGUCAAUGGACGCAAGUCUGAACCAGCCACGUCGCGUGAAGGAAGACGGCCCUACGGGUUGUAAACUUCUUUUAUACGGGAAUAAAGUGCCCCACGCGUGGGGUUUUGCAUGUACCGUAUGAAUAAGGAUCGGCUAACCCCGUGCCAGCCAGCCGCGGUAAGU
RNAcentral lists this ribosomal RNA (510 nucleotides) under uncultured bacterium. RNAcentral's name for it is "bacterial SSU rRNA". It matches the Rfam family "Bacterial small subunit ribosomal RNA", at positions 28 to 525 of the family's 1533-position model. The record is from RNAcentral.